UUUUAUGAGAGUUUGAUCCUGGCUCAGGACGAACGCUGGCGGCGUGCCUAAUACAUGCAAGUCGAACGCUUCUUUUUCCACCGGAGCUUGCUCCACCGGAAAAAGAGGAGUGGCGAACGGGUGAGUAACACGUGGGUAACCUGCCCAUCAGAAGGGGAUAACACUUGGAAACAGGUGCUAAUACCGUAUAACAAUCGAAACCGCAUGGUUUUGAUUUGAAAGGCGCUUUCGGGUGUCGCUGAUGGAUGGACCCGCGGUGCAUUAGCUAGUUGGUGAGGUAACGGCUCACCAAGGCCACGAUGCAUAGCCGACCUGAGAGGGUGAUCGGCCACAUUGGGACUGAGACACGGCCCAAACUCCUACGGGAGGCAGCAGUAGGGAAUCUUCGGCAAUGGACGAAAGUCUGACCGAGCAACGCCGCGUGAGUGAAGAAGGUUUUCGGAUCGUAAAACUCUGUUGUUAGAGAAGAACAAGGAUGAGAGUAACUGUUCAUCCCUUGACGGUAUCUAACCAGAAAGCCACGGCUAACUACGUGCCAGCAGCCGCGGUAAUACGUAGGUGGCAAGCGUUGUCCGGAUUUAUUGGGCGUAAAGCGAGCGCAGGCGGUUUCUUAAGUCUGAUGUGAAAGCCCCCGGCUCAACCGGGGAGGGUCAUUGGAAACUGGGAGACUUGAGUGCAGAAGAGGAGAGUGGAAUUCCAUGUGUAGCGGUGAAAUGCGUAGAUAUAUGGAGGAACACCAGUGGCGAAGGCGGCUCUCUGGUCUGUAACUGACGCUGAGGCUCGAAAGCGUGGGGAGCAAACAGGAUUAGAUACCCUGGUAGUCCACGCCGUAAACGAUGAGUGCUAAGUGUUGGAGGGUUUCCGCCCUUCAGUGCUGCAGCUAACGCAUUAAGCACUCCGCCUGGGGAGUACGACCGCAAGGUUGAAACUCAAAGGAAUUGACGGGGGCCCGCACAAGCGGUGGAGCAUGUGGUUUAAUUCGAAGCAACGCGAAGAACCUUACCAGGUCUUGACAUCCUUUGACCACUCUAGAGAUAGAGCUUCCCCUUCGGGGGCAAAGUGACAGGUGGUGCAUGGUUGUCGUCAGCUCGUGUCGUGAGAUG
Molecule: ribosomal RNA, 1103 nt
Filed under: Enterococcus faecium
Lineage: Bacteria; Bacillati; Bacillota; Bacilli; Lactobacillales; Enterococcaceae
Description: bacterial SSU rRNA
Rfam family: Bacterial small subunit ribosomal RNA
Source: RNAcentral